This 133-nucleotide small RNA is filed under the name Psychrobacillus sp. FJAT-21963. Its description in RNAcentral is "Bacillaceae-1 RNA". It matches the Rfam family "Bacillaceae-1 RNA". The record is from Rfam by way of RNAcentral. Lineage: Bacteria; Bacillati; Bacillota; Bacilli; Caryophanales; Bacillaceae.
UUGAGGGGAAGGCAAUCUAAGUUCGCCGCAUCCUGCUCCUGCGCAAAGCUCGUCGCAAAAAACAAUGCUCCUGCGCAAAGCUCGUCGCAAAAGAACUUUUGCGGCAACGAUUGCAUGACCAACAUCGUGUUGG